GUUAGGAAUAUUGGACAAUGGGCGAAAGCCUGAUCCAGCCAUGCCGCGUGUGUGAAGAAGGUCUUCGGAUUGUAAAGCACUUUAAGUUGGGAGGAAGGGCAGUAAGUUAAUACCUUGCUGUUUUGACGUUACCGACAGAAUAAGCACCGGCUAACUUCGUGCCAGCAGCCGCGGUAAUACGAAGGGUGCAAGCGUUAAUCGGAAUUACUGGGCGUAAAGCGCGCGUAGGUGGUUUUGUAAGUUGGAGGUGAAAUCGCCGGGCUCAACCUGGGAACUGCCUCCAAAACUGCAUGACUAGAGUACGGUAGAGGGUAGUGGAAUUUCCUGUGUAGCGGUGAAAUGCGUAGAUAUAGGAAGGAACACCAGUGGCGAAGGCGACUACCUGGACUGAUACUGACACUGAGGUGCGAAAGCGUGGGGAGCAAACAGGAUUAGAAACCCCUGUAGUCC
Molecule: ribosomal RNA, 450 nt
Filed under: uncultured bacterium
Lineage: Bacteria
Description: bacterial SSU rRNA
Rfam family: Bacterial small subunit ribosomal RNA
Source: RNAcentral